GACGAACGCUGGCGGCGUGCUUAACACAUGCAAGUCGAACGAAGAGCGAUGGAAGCUUGCUUCUAUCAAUCUUAGUGGCGAGCGGGUGAGUAACGCGUAAUCAACCUGCCCUUCAGAGGGGGACAACAGUUGGAAACGACUGCUAAUACCGCAUACGAUCUAAACUCGGCAUCGAGGAUAGAUGAAAGGUGGCCUCUACAUGUAAGCUAUCACUGAAGGAGGGGAUUGCGUCUGAUUAGCUAGUUGGAGGGGUAACGGCCCACCAAGGCGAUGAUCAGUAGCCGGUCUGAGAGGAUGAACGGCCACAUUGGGACUGAGACACGGCCCAGACUCCUACGGGAAGCAGCAGUGGGGAAUCUUCCGCAAUGGACGAAAGUCUGACGGAGCAACGCCGCGUGAGUGAUGACGGCCUUCGGGUUGUAAAGCUCUGUUAAUCGGGACGAAAGGCCUUCUUGCGAAUAGUGAGAAGGAUUGACGGUACCGGAAUAGAAAGCCACGGCUAACUACGUG
RNAcentral lists this ribosomal RNA (510 nucleotides) under uncultured bacterium. Its description in RNAcentral is "partial 16S ribosomal RNA". It matches the Rfam family "Bacterial small subunit ribosomal RNA", at positions 28 to 507 of the family's 1533-position model. The record is from RNAcentral.